UGAACUAGAAAUGCAACAGGACGAAGAAAAUUUGCCAUAUGAAGAAGAGAUUUACAAAGAUUCUAGUACUUUUCUUAAGGGAACACAGAGCUUAAAUCCCCAUAAUGAUUACUGCCAACAUUUUGUAGACACUGGACAUAGACCUCAGAAUUUCAUCAGGGAUGUAGGUUUAGCUGACAGAUUUGAAGAAUAUCCUAAACUGAGGGAGCUCAUCAGGCUAAAGGAUGAGUUAAUAGCUAAAUCUAACACUCCUCCUAUGUACUUACAAGCCGAUAUAGAAGCCUUUGACAUCAGAGAACUAACACCCAAAUUUGAUGUGAUUCUUCUGGAACCCCCUUUAGAAGAAUAUUACAGAGAAACUGGCAUCACUGCUAAUGAAAAAUGCUGGACUUGGGAUGAUGUAUGAUCAAACUUUCUACAUUGUAAUGAAUU
RNAcentral lists this small RNA (432 nucleotides) under Pongo abelii (Sumatran orangutan). RNAcentral's name for it is "retained intron". Lineage: Eukaryota; Metazoa; Chordata; Mammalia; Primates; Hominidae. The record is from RNAcentral.